Long non-coding RNA from Stegostoma tigrinum, 480 nucleotides. RefSeq lists it as uncharacterized. The record is from RefSeq and is a predicted model, not a curated record. NCBI's taxonomy places the organism in Eukaryota, Metazoa, Chordata, Chondrichthyes, Orectolobiformes, Stegostomatidae. The transcript has 3 exons.
CAAGCCUGUGGUGAAUCUAACCAAACUUCCCCUCUAUAUUUUCUGAAGAGCUUGUUCUGCAAUAAUGGAGGCUGUGGAUCAGAUCAUUGAUAAUCUUCAGGAUAGCAGAUACCUCUUUGAUUCGGUAACAGUACACAUUGCUGUGGGACUGGAGUCACACAGAUCCAAGACCAGCAGAGGCAAGAUCGAGAGACACAUACUUGCCCAGCAUCUGCAUCUCGCUCUCAGCCCAAUGAAUUAAAUCCAGUGGAAGGGCAGAAGCCCAUUUGUCGAAAGCCCAUUCAGUUCCAGAAGUUGCCAGAAUGGGUUUGCUAAACUCAUCAUUAGCCAAGUAUAAGACACCACCUCAGUGCUUUAGAGUCUCCUGAGAGAGACAGACCCACUAGAACAUCGAUACCAUCUGAUCCAUAUUUGAGACUUAGUUGUUGGAAAUCAAAGGAGUAUCCAGCUACAAUUCAACAGGCACAUCCCAUUGCUGAA